GACGAACGCUGGCGGCGUGCUUAACACAUGCAAGUCGAACGGUGAAGCGCCUUCCUUUUUGGUGGGUGUGGAUGAGUGGCGAACGGGUGAGUAACACGUGAGUAACCUGCCCCCUUCUUCUGGAUAACCGCAUGAAAGUGUGGCUAAUACGGGAUAUUCUGGGUCUGUCGCAUGAUGGGUCUGGGAAAGAUAUUGUUUCGGUGGGGGAUGGGCUCGCGGCCUAUCAGCUUGUUGGUGGGGUGAUGGCCUACCAAGGCGGUGACGGGUAGCCGGCCUGAGAGGGUGGACGGUCACACUGGGACUGAGACACGGCCCAGACUCCUACGGGAGGCAGCAGUGGGGAAUAUUGCACAAUGGGCGCAAGCCUGAUGCAGCGACGCCGCGUGAGGGAUGGAGGCCUUCGGGUUGUGAACCUCUUUCGCCAGUGAAGUAGGCCUGCCUCGUUUGUGGGUGGGUUGACGGUAGCUGGAUAAGAAGCGCCGGCUAACUACGU
Molecule: ribosomal RNA, 493 nt
Filed under: uncultured bacterium
Lineage: Bacteria
Description: partial 16S ribosomal RNA
Rfam family: Bacterial small subunit ribosomal RNA
Source: RNAcentral